Molecule: ribosomal RNA, 505 nt
Filed under: uncultured bacterium
Lineage: Bacteria
Description: partial 16S ribosomal RNA
Rfam family: Bacterial small subunit ribosomal RNA
Source: RNAcentral
GACGAACGCUGGCGGCGUGCCUAAUACAUGCAAGUAGAACGCACAGUUUAUACCGUAGCUUGCUACACCAUAGACUGUGAGUUGCGAACGGGUGAGUAAAGCGUAGGUAACCUGCCUGGUAGCGGGGGAUAACUAUUGGAAACGCUAGCUAAUACCGCAUAAUAUUGAUUAUUGCAUGAUAAUUAAUUGAAAGGUGCAAUUGCACCACUACCAGAUGGACCUGCGUUGUAUUAGCUAGUAGGUGAGGUAACGGCUCACCUAGGCGACGAUACAUAGCCGACAUGAGAGGGUGAGCGGCCACACUGGGGCUGAGACACGGCCCAGACUCCUACGGGAGGCAGCAGUAGGGAAUCUUCGGCAAUGGACGAAAGUCUGACCGAGCAACGCCGCGUGAGUGAAGAAGGUUUGCGGAUCGUAAAGCGCUGUUGUAAGAGAAGAACGGGUGUGAGAGUGGAAAGUUCACACUGUGACGGUAUCUUACCAGAGAGGGACGGCUAACUACGUG